This is a transfer RNA of Felis catus (domestic cat), 84 nucleotides long. It matches the Rfam family "tRNA". From Rfam's summary of the family: Transfer RNA (tRNA) molecules are approximately 80 nucleotides in length. The record is from Rfam. Lineage: Eukaryota; Metazoa; Chordata; Mammalia; Carnivora; Felidae.
GCCUGGGUGGCUCAGUGGUUGAGCAUCUGACUUCGGCUCAGGUCAUGAUCUCGCAGUUUGUGAGUUUGAGCCCCGCAUCGGGCU